RNAcentral lists this ribosomal RNA (262 nucleotides) under uncultured bacterium. RNAcentral's name for it is "partial 16S ribosomal RNA". It matches the Rfam family "Bacterial small subunit ribosomal RNA", at positions 510 to 770 of the family's 1533-position model. The record is from RNAcentral.
GGCAGCCGCGGUAAUACGGAGGGGGCUAGCGUUGUUCGGAAUUACUGGGCGUAAAGAGUUGCGUAGGUGGCACUGUAAGUUGGUAGUGAAAGCGUGGGGCUCAACCUCAUAUCCAUUACCAAAACUGCAGAGCUAGAGAAUGAGAGAGGUGGCUGGAAUUCCCUGUGUAGGAGUGAAAUCCGUAGAUAUAGGGAGGAACACCGAUGGCGUAGGCAGGCCACUGGCUCAUUUCUGACACUAAGGCACGAAAGCGUGGGGAGCA